AGAGUUUGAUCAUGGCUCAGAUUGAACGCUGGCGGCAUGCCUUACACAUGCAAGUCGAACGGUAACAGGCCGCAAGGUGCUGACGAGUGGCGAACGGGUGAGUAAUGCAUCGGAACGUGCCCAGUAGUGGGGGAUAGCCCGGCGAAAGCCGGAUUAAUACCGCAUACGACCUACGGGUGAAAGCGGGGGACCGUAAGGCCUCGCGCUAUUGGAGCGGCCGAUGUCAGAUUAGGUAGUUGGUGGGGUAAAGGCCUACCAAGCCUACGAUCUGUAGCUGGUCUGAGAGGACGACCAGCCACACUGGGACUGAGACACGGCCCAGACUCCUACGGGAGGCAGCAGUGGGGAAUUUUGGACAAUGGGCGCAAGCCUGAUCCAGCCAUGCCGCGUGCGGGAAGAAGGCCUUCGGGUUGUAAACCGCUUUUGUCAGGGAAGAAAUCCUUUGGGUUAAUACCCCGGGGGGAUGACGGUACCUGAAGAAUAAGCACCGGCUAACUACGUGCCAGCAGCCGCGGUAAUACGUAGGGUGCAAGCGUUAAUCGGAAUUACUGGGCGUAAAGCGUGCGCAGGCGGUUUUGUAAGACAGAGGUGAAAUCCCCGGGCUCAACCUGGGAACUGCCUUCGUGACUGCAAGGCUUGAGUGCGGCAGAGGGGGAUGGAAUUCCGCGUGUAGCAGUGAAAUGCGUAGAUAUGCGGAGGAACACCGAUGGCGAAGGCAAUCCCCUGGGCCUGCACUGACGCUCAUGCACGAAAGCGUGGGGAGCAAACAGGAUUAGAUACCCCGGUAGUCCAA
Molecule: ribosomal RNA, 793 nt
Filed under: uncultured bacterium
Lineage: Bacteria
Description: bacterial SSU rRNA
Rfam family: Bacterial small subunit ribosomal RNA
Source: RNAcentral